AUUGAACGCUGGCGGCAGGCCUAACACAUGCAAGUCGGACGGUAGCACAGAGGAGCUUGCUCCUCGGGUGACGAGUGGCGGACGGGUGAGUAAUGUCUGGGGAUCUGCCCGAUAGAGGGGGAUAACCACUAGAAACGGUGGCUAAUACCGCAUAACGUCGCAAGACCAAAGAGGGGGACCUUCGGGCCUCUCACUAUCGGAUGAACCCAGAUGGGAUUAGCUAGUAGGCGGGGUAAUGGCCCACCUAGGCGACGAUCCCUAGCUGGUCUGAGAGGAUGACCAGCCACACUGGAACUGAGACACGGUCCAGACUCCUACGGGAGGCAGCAGUGGGGAAUAUUGCACAAUGGGCGCAAGCCUGAUGCAGCCAUGCCGCGUGUAUGAAGAAGGCCUUCGGGUUGUAAAGUACUUUCAGCGGGGAGGAAGGCGAUAAGGUUAAUAACCUUGUCGAUUGACGUUACCCGCAGAAGAAGCACCGGCUAACUCCGUGCCAGCAGCCGCGGUAA
This 506-nucleotide ribosomal RNA is filed under the name uncultured bacterium. RNAcentral describes it as "partial 16S ribosomal RNA". It matches the Rfam family "Bacterial small subunit ribosomal RNA", at positions 30 to 523 of the family's 1533-position model. The record is from RNAcentral.